This is a long non-coding RNA of Gavialis gangeticus (Gharial), 563 nucleotides long. RefSeq lists it as uncharacterized. NCBI's taxonomy places the organism in Eukaryota, Metazoa, Chordata, Crocodylia, Gavialidae. The transcript is spliced from 4 exons. The record is from RefSeq and is a predicted model, not a curated record.
UUGACCUUUAUUUGACUUGGGUUGACCAGGUCUUCUCCAUUUUAACCCAGGUCUGAUCAGCAAUUUCAAGUCAGCUAAACUGAAGUUACACCGACCAUCUGUCUUACAGGUACAGAGCACUUCAUUAUGUGCACGAACAGAAAUGCUUAAACGGAUGAAGCAGCUAUUUGCGUCUGAUAGGAGCUAAGUGGGACAUUAAAUUAAUGCCAAACAAGAAAUGCAUAAGGAAGAUUCCAAUGGAUCAAAAAAAACCCUUUUUUUCAUAAAAGAAAAAUAUAUAUAACCAUUCCUGGAUACAUUAAGAAGUUGUCAUUAUCAUUCAAGAGAAAAAAUUAGGUUAGUGUAAUCAAGAAAAAAAUGUAAUGACCAGCAUAUCAAAACACAACCUUGGGAAAUGGUCAAAAUUGGAUAUGUUACAUCCUUAUUAUACCCAAAAGAGAUGAGUGCAAUAUCCUGGCUGCAUUUUUUCCAUGAAAAAGUUUGAAAAUAGGAACUGAAAAUUGCAAAAUUAUGUUUCUGUCUCAUGGACAAGGAUUGUAACAAAAUUAUGAAAUUAUUAUUAU